This 366-nucleotide ribosomal RNA is filed under the name uncultured Nostoc sp. Its description in RNAcentral is "bacterial SSU rRNA". It matches the Rfam family "Bacterial small subunit ribosomal RNA", at positions 350 to 730 of the family's 1533-position model. The record is from RNAcentral. Lineage: Bacteria; Bacillati; Cyanobacteriota; Cyanophyceae; Nostocales; Nostocaceae.
AGCAGUGGGGAAUUUUCCGCCAUGGGCGAAAGCCUGACGGAGCAAUACCGCGUGAGGGAGGAAGGCUCCUGGGUUGUAAACCUCUUUUUUCAGGGAAGAACACAAUGACGGUACCUGAGGAAUCAGCAUCGGCUAACUCCGUGCCAGCAGCCGCGGUAAUACAGAGGAUGCAAGCGUUAUCCGGAAUGAUUGGGCGUAAAGCGUCCGCAGGUGGCUGUGUAAGUCUGCUGUUAAAGAGCGAGGCUCAACCUCAUAAGAGCAGUGGAAACUACCCGGCUAGAGUGCGGUCGGGGCAGAGGGAAUUCCUGGUGUAGCGGUGAAAUGCGUAGAGAUCAGGAAGAACACCGGCGGCGAAAGCGCUCUGCU